RNAcentral lists this ribosomal RNA (478 nucleotides) under uncultured bacterium. Its description in RNAcentral is "partial 16S ribosomal RNA". It matches the Rfam family "Bacterial small subunit ribosomal RNA", at positions 28 to 523 of the family's 1533-position model. The record is from RNAcentral.
GAUGAACGCUGGCGGCGUGCUUAACACAUGCAAGUCGAACGGUAAGGCCCUUCGGGGUACACGAGUGGCGAACGGGUGAGUAACACGUGGGUGAUCUGCCCUGCACUUCGGGAUAAGCCUGGGAAACUGGGUCUAAUACCGGAUAGGACCACUGCCUGCAUGGGUGGUGGUGGAAAGCUUUUGCGGUGUGGGAUGGGCCCGCGGCCUAUCAGCUUGUUGGUGGGGUGAUGGCCUACCAAGGCGACGACGGGUAGCCGGCCUGAGAGGGUGACCGGCCACACUGGGACGGAGAUACGGCCCAGACUCCUACGGGAGGCAGCAGUGGGGAAUAUUGCACAAUGGGCGCAAGCCUGAUGCAGCGACGCCGCGUGAGGGAUGACGGCCUUCGGGUUGUAAACCUCUUUCAGCACCGACGAAGCGCAAGUGACGGUAGGUGCAGAAGAAGGACCGGCCAACUACGUGCCAGCCGCCGCAGUAA